Molecule: long non-coding RNA, 518 nt
Organism: Micropterus dolomieu (smallmouth bass)
Lineage: Eukaryota; Metazoa; Chordata; Actinopteri; Centrarchiformes; Centrarchidae
Exons: 2
Source: RefSeq, a predicted model, not a curated record
CUCCCAAAAGCAGGGAGGUGACAGCUGGUGUGUUGUGUGGAUGUGUUUUUUUUGUCCCCUUUUGAGCGUGUGAGAGAUGCUUGGUGGGUUUUGGUUUUGUCUGUCUUCCUGUGGUGUUUCCCUCUCUCUCUCCCUCUUCCUCUCUCCUUCAGGGCGGAGUUGUGGGCCGUGUCUCUGGGAGCUGGGCAUCUUCCUCCAGCUGCAGGCAAUUUACUCUUCACACACCUGUCUCCUGUUGCCAUCCAGACUGGUUUAUAUACCCCGCCAUCUAAUCAGUUCCCUGCCGGAUUAUUAGUUGUGUAAGUCCUUGGAGACCCUGCUCUAUCCCGGAGUCACUCUACCUCGAGGAAUGCCAGCCUGGAAAUCACCCCACCGCCGACGCUCUUCCCAGUCAGCCCUGCACCCGUCCCACCUGGCCUUGUUCUCUCGUGCCCCACCACACCGGAGGAAUCCAACCCCCUCCAUCUAACCAAUCCUUUUUCCUUGUAUUCAAUAAACCGUGUAAAUGCCCUCCUGAA